This 253-nucleotide ribosomal RNA is filed under the name uncultured bacterium. Its description in RNAcentral is "partial 16S ribosomal RNA". It matches the Rfam family "Bacterial small subunit ribosomal RNA", at positions 524 to 776 of the family's 1533-position model. The record is from RNAcentral.
UACGGGGGGAGCAAGCGUUGUUCGGAUUUACUGGGCGUACAGGGAGCGUAGGCGGUUGGGUAAGCCCUUCGUGAAAUCUCCGGGCCUAACCCGGAAAGUGCGGAGGGGACUGCUCGGCUAGAGGAUGGGAGAGGAGCGCGGAAUUCCCGGUGUAGCGGUGAAAUGCGUAGAGAUCGGGAGGAAGGCCGGUGGCGAAGGCGGCGCUCUGGAACAUUUCUGACGCUGAGGCUCGAAAGCGUGGGGAGCAAACAGG